GACGAACGCUGGCGGCGUGCUUAACACAUGCAAGUCGAACGGUAAGGCCCUUCGGGGUACACGAGUGGCGAACGGGUGAGUAACACGUGGGUGAUCUGCCCUGCACUUCGGGAUAAGCCUGGGAAACUGGGUCUAAUACCGGAUAGGACCACUGCCUGCAUGGGUGGUGGUGGAAAGCUUUUGCGGGGUGGGAUGGGCCCGCGGCCUAUCAGCUUGUUGGUGGGGUGAUGGCCUACCGAGGCGACGACGGGUAGCCGGCCUGAGUGGGUGACCGGCCACACUGGUACUGAGGUACGGCCCAGACUACUACGGGAGGCAGCAGUGGGGAAUAUUGCACAAUGGGCGCAAGCCUGAUGCAGCGACGCCGCGUGAGGGAUGACGGCCUUCGGGUUGUAAACCUCUUUCAGCACCGACGAAGCGCAAGUGACGGUAGGUGCAGAAGAAGGACCGGCCAACUACGUGCCAGCCGCCGCCGUAA
This 478-nucleotide ribosomal RNA is filed under the name uncultured bacterium. RNAcentral's name for it is "partial 16S ribosomal RNA". It matches the Rfam family "Bacterial small subunit ribosomal RNA", at positions 28 to 523 of the family's 1533-position model. The record is from RNAcentral.